This 158-nucleotide ribosomal RNA is filed under the name uncultured bacterium. RNAcentral's name for it is "partial 16S ribosomal RNA". It matches the Rfam family "Bacterial small subunit ribosomal RNA", at positions 376 to 525 of the family's 1533-position model. The record is from RNAcentral.
CGGAAGCCUGAUCCAGCCAUGCCGCGUGUGUGAAGAAGGCCUUAUGGUUGUAAAGCACUUUAAGCGAGGAGGAGGCUACUCUAGUUAAUACCUAGAGAUAGUGGACGUUACUCGCAGAAUAAGCACCGGCUAACUCUGUGCCAGCAGCCGCGGUAAUA